AAAAGAUUAUAUAAUACAUUUCUCUGCUAGAUCAGCAUCUUCUCACAAUUGCUGAGAGCCAAGUCCUUUUUUACAAUUAAUCACAGAAUAUUUAGGCUCAGCUGUGUCAUGAGAAAUUAAGCCAACCUCAAAGGGCUGCUUCUGUGUCAUCCAGGAAGAAAGUUUUCAGCACUUUCAAUCAAUAAGACAACAGAAAUGGAAGCUGUGUCACAACACGGAAUGAGGCACAUGACAGAAUGAAUACAGGAGUUCCAAGUACACAUCAUGAAAAUGGCAUGCAAAGGGAGAGGAUCACCCAGGAUUUAGAGGAUAAAGGGGAUGAUUUGGGGGAGACACUCAGCACAGCACCUCCACCACCACACCCAGAGCAGCUCCAAAGCAAAGCAACCUAUUAAUGCAUCUCCUGGAGAUCGUGCCUGCCUGAACCUGAAGGCUAAAGAGACACUCUGACUGAUUUCCUUUCUGUGCAACAAUGGAAUAUCCUGCAAUAUCCUUCUCAUUCCAUACCCAGUGGGAAAAUGCUUAAUGUCUACUCUGUACAAGGGGCUCUGUGGGAGCAACCAGCCACUAAAAUCUCCAUCUCUUGAUAUCAUGACGAAUCUUAGACUCACAGAUGUGUCCUCACAUAGUUGAUUAACUUUAAUGAUGGAUGGGUCGUCCCAAGACAAAUCCAGGUGGUAAAUCCUCCUGAUUGCUAGGUGGUUGGGGAGCUUUCUGGCUUACAGGAAGGGAGAAGACCAAGAUACAGGUCCUCAACUAGGUCCACAACAGUGUUGGCAAGAUAUGUGGAGGGAGCUUGGUAUUUUCGGGGACCCCCAAGAGUUG
RNAcentral lists this long non-coding RNA (825 nucleotides) under Fukomys damarensis (Damara mole-rat). RNAcentral describes it as "lncRNA (ENSFDAG00000023564.1)". Lineage: Eukaryota; Metazoa; Chordata; Mammalia; Rodentia; Bathyergidae. The record is from RNAcentral.